This 433-nucleotide ribosomal RNA is filed under the name uncultured bacterium. RNAcentral describes it as "partial 16S ribosomal RNA". It matches the Rfam family "Bacterial small subunit ribosomal RNA", at positions 29 to 507 of the family's 1533-position model. The record is from RNAcentral.
AACGAACGCUGGCGGCAUGCCUAACACAUGCAAGUCGAACGAGACCUUCGGGUCUAGUGGCGCACGGGUGCGUAACGCGUGGGAACCUGCCCUUAGGUUCGGAAUAACUCCCCGAAAGGGGUGCUAAUACCGGAUAAUGUCUUCGGACCAAAGAUUUAUCGCCUUUGGAUGGGCCCGCGUUGGAUUAGCUAGUUGGUAGGGUAAAAGCCUACCAAGGCGACGAUCCAUAGCUGGUCUGAGAGGAUGAUCAGCCACGCUGGGACUGAGACACGGCCCAGACUCCUACGGGAGGCAGCAGUGGGGAAGAUUGGACAAUGGGCGAAAGCCUGAUCCAGCAAUGCCGCGUGAGUGAUGAAGGCCGUAGGGUUGUAAAGCUCUUUUACCCGGGAUGAUAAUGACAGUACCGGGAGAAUAAGCUCCGGCUAACUCCGUG